This 497-nucleotide ribosomal RNA is filed under the name uncultured bacterium. RNAcentral describes it as "partial 16S ribosomal RNA". It matches the Rfam family "Bacterial small subunit ribosomal RNA", at positions 28 to 507 of the family's 1533-position model. The record is from RNAcentral.
GAUGAACGCUGGCGGCGUGCCUAAUACAUGCCAGUCGAGCGAACAGACGAGGAGCUUGCUCCUCUGACGUUAGCGGCGGACGGGUGAGUAACACGUGGAUAACCUACCUAUAAGACUGGGAUAACUUCGGGAAACCGGAGCUAAUACCGGAUAAUAUAUUGAACCGCAUGGUUCAAUAGUGAAAGACGGUUUUGCUGUCACUUAUAGAUGGAUCCGCGCCGCAUUAGCUAGUUGGUAAGGUAACGGCUUACCAAGGCAACGAUGCGUAGCCGACCUGAGAGGGUGAUCGGCCACACUGGAACUGAGACACGGUCCAGACUCCUACGGGAGGCAGCAGUAGGGCAUCUUCCGCAAUGGGCGAAAGCCUGACGGAGCAACGCCGCGUGAGUGAUGAAGGUCUUCGGAUCGUAAAACUCUGUUAUUAGGGAAGAACAAAUGUGUAAGUAACUAUGCACGUCUUGACGGUACCUAAUCAGAAAGCCACGGCUAACUACGUG